CCUACGGGGGGCAGCAGUGGGGAAUAUUGCACAAUGGGCGAAAGCCUGAUGCAGCAACGCCGCGUGAAGGAAGACGGUUUUCGGAUUGUAAACUUCUGUUCUUAGUGAAGAAUAAUGACGGUACUAAGGCGCACGCCACGGCUAACUACGUGCCCGCCGCCGCGGUAAUACGUAGGUGGCAAGCGUUGUCCGGAAUUACUGGGUGUAAGGGGAGCGUAGGCGGGAAGCCAAGUCAGCUGUGAAAACUACGGGCUUAACCAGUAGACUGCAGUUGAAACUGGCUUUGUUGAGUGAAGUAGAGGUUGGCGGAAUGCGGAGUGGAGCGGUGAAAUGCGUAGAUAUUCGGAGGAACACCGAUGGCGAAGGCGGCCAACUAAGCUGUAACUGACGCUGAGGCUCGAAAGUGUGGGGAGCAAACAGGAUUAGAUACCCCUGUAGUC
RNAcentral lists this ribosomal RNA (440 nucleotides) under uncultured bacterium. RNAcentral's name for it is "partial 16S ribosomal RNA". It matches the Rfam family "Bacterial small subunit ribosomal RNA", at positions 338 to 795 of the family's 1533-position model. The record is from RNAcentral.